AAUAAGAAUGUGAGACAGAAGACAUGGCGGCCUAACCACCCGCAAGCCUUCGUGGGGAGCGUUCGCGAGGCUCCAUUCUUCGUUCAACUUCUUUUCUCUGAAAGUAAUUUUGGAUGAUAUUCCUCAAUGUAGGACAAGGCUUUGCUUUUCGAAGAAAACUGAGAAUACAGCAAAGUUACAAGAAAUUGCUACGGAAGGAAAAGAAGGCUCAAACGUCACUGGAAUCUCAAUUCACAGAUCGAUACCCAGAUAAUCUGAAACAUCUCUAUUUAGCUGAAGAGGAAAGA
This 287-nucleotide small RNA is filed under the name Pan troglodytes (chimpanzee). RNAcentral's name for it is "processed transcript". Lineage: Eukaryota; Metazoa; Chordata; Mammalia; Primates; Hominidae. The record is from RNAcentral.